Molecule: unclassified non-coding RNA, 393 nt
Filed under: soil metagenome
Description: partial contains 5.8S ribosomal RNA, internal transcribed spacer 2, and large subunit ribosomal RNA
Rfam family: 5.8S ribosomal RNA (bases 1-122)
Source: RNAcentral
GAUGAAGAACGCAGCGAAAUGCGAUACUUGGUGUGAAUUGCAGAAUCCCGUGAACCAUCGAGUCUUUGAACGCAAGUUGCGCCCGAAGCCACUAGGCCGAGGGCACGCCUGCCUGGGCGUCACACGUCGUUGCCCCCCCCCCAUCUACUCCUUCGGGCUUGCGGGGGGCGGAUGAUGGCCUCCCGUGCGCCUAGCCGCGCGGUUGGCAUAAAUACCAAGUCCUCGGCGACGCACGCCACGACAAUCGGUGGUUGCGAAACCUCGGUUGCCCGUCGUGUGCGUUCGUCGCGCAUCGAGGGCUCGAAAAAAUGCUCGGCUCCGGCUCGGCUUUCAACGCGACCCCAGGUCAGGCGGGGUUACCCGCUGAAUUUAAGCAUAUCAAUAAGCGGAGGA